CCUACGGGAGGCAGCAGUGAGGAAUAUUGGUCAAUGGACGAGAGUCUGAACCAGCCAAGUAGCGUGAAGGAUGACUGCCCUAUGGGUUGUAAACUUCUUUUAUAAAGGAAUAAAACGAGGCACGGGUGCCGUUUUGCAUGUACUUUAUGAAUAAGGAUCGGCUACCGCCGUGCCAGCAGCCGCGGUAAUACGGAGGAUCCGAGCGUUAUCCGGAUUUAUUGGGUUUAACGGGAGCGUAGAUGGUUUGUUAAGUCAGUUGUGAAAGUUUGCGGCUCAACCGUAAAAUUGCAAUUGAUACUGGCAGUCUUGAGUACAGUUGAGGUCGGCGGAAUUCGUGGUGUAUCGGUGAAAUGCUUAGAUAUCACGCAGAACCCCGAUUGCGAAGGCAGCUUUCUCAGCUGUGACUGACAUUGAUGCUCGAAAGUGUGGGUAUCAAACAGGAUUAGAUACCCCAGUAGUC
This 460-nucleotide ribosomal RNA is filed under the name uncultured bacterium. Its description in RNAcentral is "partial 16S ribosomal RNA". It matches the Rfam family "Bacterial small subunit ribosomal RNA", at positions 338 to 795 of the family's 1533-position model. The record is from RNAcentral.